Rhea pennata is the source of this 616-nucleotide long non-coding RNA. RefSeq lists it as uncharacterized. NCBI's taxonomy places the organism in Eukaryota, Metazoa, Chordata, Aves, Rheiformes, Rheidae. The transcript is spliced from 3 exons. The record is from RefSeq and is a predicted model, not a curated record.
GUUGAAACAAAAGGGUAAGACCUUCAGUCGUUGAAACAAAGCUUGGAUAAAACUGAUAGAAGCAUUCAUGUUAAAAACGUAUUAAAUGGAGUAUUUUAAAAUACAGAGAGAAGAGGAAGAGAAUAAUGAACAAAAACCCCCACAACACUUUGUAGUCUAAUACCUUCUGGAAGUUUCUAAGGAGCACUGCCAAGAAAAACUAACUUCCAAGCCUGCAAAGGCACCUGACAGCACCUUUCAAAUAAAAGGCAAAGGUCAUUUAAGAAAGUGAGGGUAACCCAUGCUAUAGAACAGACAUGGAGAACUCUUGGCGAUUCAUCUGCAUCUUACUAAAGGAAACAAAAAAUACCUUCCUAAAUGUAUUCCACAGGAGAGAAUUCAAACAAGCAAUAAAUUAAUCGUCAUACUCCCAUCUGAUAUACCUACUUCUGAGUAGAGAGGUGGAGGCAGAAAACGAAACUCCUGGAUGUAUGCAAAUAAUGGUCCUUGAAGCGCUCUCUCAAAAUCAUCACAAGCAGCUAUGGGUGCAAGGCUGGACUGUCUCUGUUCCUCUGUGACCACUUCUGCAUAGCUAGGAGGUGCUGAAGGGAAAAGGUACACGCAGUUCGAACAACAA